UGGGGAAUAUUGCACAAUGGGCGAAAGCCUGAUGCAGCAACGCCGCGUGAGGGACGACGGCCUUCGGGUUGUAAACCUCUUUAGCAAGGAAGAAGCGAAAGUGACGGUACUUGCAGAAAAAGCGCCGGCUAACUACGUGCCAGCAGCCGCGGUAAUACGUAGGGCGCAAGCGUUAUCCGGAAUUAUUGGGCGUAAAGAGCUCGUAGGCGGUUUGUCGCGUCUGCUGUGAAAACCCGAGGCUCAACCUCGGGCCUGCAGUGGGUACGGGCAGACUAGAGUGCGGUAGGGGAGAUUGGAACUCCUGGUGUAGCGGUGGAAUGCGCAGAUAUCAGGAAGAACACCGAUGGCGAAGGCAGAUCUCUGGGCCGUAACUGACGCUGAGGAGCGAAAGGGUGGGGAGCAAACAGGCUUAGAUACCCUGGUAGUCCACCCGUAAACGUUGGGAACUAGUUGUGGGUCCAUUCCACGGAUUCCGUGACGCAGCUAACGCAUUAAGUUCCCCGCCUGGGGAGUACGGCCGCAAGGCU
Molecule: ribosomal RNA, 527 nt
Filed under: uncultured bacterium
Lineage: Bacteria
Description: partial 16S ribosomal RNA
Rfam family: Bacterial small subunit ribosomal RNA
Source: RNAcentral